GCUGACGCCAUUGUAGACCUCAGCCCGUCUGUACCCAGGCGCUCAUUAGAACAGCGUGUUGCUCCACACCGCCUUGUGGUGUUUGUUACCGCGCUCUUGGGGUUCGAACCGAUACAGCAGGCUUGCAGCUAUUUCAUUGGUUUAAACUUUUAUUUUUUUAUUGCAAAUGAAAAUUACUAUCAACUAUCAUUACAAAGCUGUAGAAUAUGAAGUUCGAAGGAAAACGCUGAAUCAGUAUACAAAAGCGUCUCAAUCAGACUCAUCCAUUUUGAAGCAAUUCCUCUGCCAUUUUGCCACCUCCUCUCAAAUUCAGCGACUUACCAGAAAGCCUGUGUGGAUGAAUAUUGCUUCCAGGAGUCACAUAAUUACAUCUAAAAUCAUAGAAUGUUAGAGCUGGAGGAAUCUUUAGAGUUUGCCCAAGGUCCUUCACCAGCAUUUUACAGAAGAUUCUUCGAUUUAACUGCUCUUAAUUACAUCCCGUUGCACUGGCCCCAUCAAGUUGCUUUAAACAGCCCUUCUAGUCAACAGAGCUGCAGAGAAAAACCUUGGUUGGUUCAGGUCACUAGGAUGCAGAGCUGUCACACUUCAUUUGUGAGAACACUCCAGAGCUUCCUCCAGCUGCUGAUUCCAAACCAGCUUCACAAAUAAACAACAUUUAUAAUCCCAGACCUGUGGGAAGCAUUUCCAGGAAAUAUGGAUCAUCACAUUGGCUCUUGUUACCAGAACUGUGCAAGGCUCCCAUUGGCCGAACACAACUGGAUUUCAGAAGACUUAAUGGAGACUAUACAGGAAUGACCUGCCUUGUUGUAAGAGGUUUGGGGAGAGAGCCAUGUGGCAAGCAACUGCCAGCAGCCUCUUGGAACUCCUGGCUAACAGUCAGCAAAAAGCCAGAAACCUCAGUUUACAACCACAAAAUGAUGAAUCCUGCCAACAACCUGAGUCGGUUUUGCAGUGGAUCCAUCCCCAGUCAAGCUUUCUGAUGAGAAUCCAGCUCCAGCCAAGAGCUUUUGCUGUUGUUCUUGUAAUUAAUUGUUCCAAGCAUCCAUUCUUUCUGUAGCCUCAAGAUGGUAUAUACGAUUUUGCACUUCGUUGGGAGGUCAUGCUGAUACAAGAGGUGAGCUCCCACAGCCUCGGGCAGCUCCUCCCCUGUGGCUUUGCAGGAUACAGCCCCCAUCCUGGCUGCUUUCAGGGGCUAGUGUUGAAUGUCUGCAGCUUUUCCAGGCGCAUAGUGCAAGCUGUUGGUGGAUCUAUCGUUCUGGAGUAUGGAGGAUGGUGGCUCUCUUCUCACAGCUCUACUAGGCAGUGCCCCAGUGGGGACUCUGGGGCAUCCAACCCCACAUUUCUCUUCCACACUGCCCUAGCAGAGGUUCUUCAUGAGGCCCCACCUCUGCAGCAAACUUCUGCUUGGACAUCCAGAUGACAGGUAUCAUUAUCCAUGUGGAAGACUAGGCUGGAAGAGCUUGUCUCCAACUUUGAAGAAGUGAAAAAACCAGAUGUUUGGGGCAAUUCAGAAGUCUGUGGAAGUUGAAGGUGUUAAUCAAUGGCACUCAGGUUACUUCCAAGAGAAACUAUUCAGGAUUUCCAAGUAACGAAGAAUCAAGCUAGUUUGUAAUGUCCUCAAAGAAAGAAACAUUUUCAUUUCUACAUGACCAGCAGCUAUCAUAGGGGCUGGCACACAGAUUUCUCAUCCUGGGAGAAACCAGCUGCCAGGUCUUGAGGAACACUCAAGCAGCACUGUGGGGAGACCCAUGUGGUGAGGAACUGGAGCCUCUGGAUAACACUCAGCAGAAACUGAGGCCUUCCAACAACCCCAUGAGUGAUACUGAAAGCAGAUCUCCCAGCCCCAGUCAAGCCUUCGGAUGACUGCGGCCCAGUAACAGCUUGAAUGCAACCUCACAAGAGACGUUGAGCUAGAAGCAGCUAGCCAAUCCACUCUUGGAUUCCUGACCCUCAGAAACUGAUAAUAAUAAAUGUUUGCUGUUUUAAGCUGCUAAGUUUUGUAGUAAUUUGUUACAGAGCAACAUGUAACUAUCAUAUGUUAAUAUUAACAGUGAGAUGGUGGCAAAAUACCAACCCACAAUGUGGAAGUGGCUUUAGAACUGAGCAAUGGGCUUUGACGAAAGGGUUAGUGACAGUCUGUAGUGCCUCGAACACACCGUCAAUAGAAGCCUUGUGGUUUUUCCUAAAGCUACAGGUGAGGGCUCACAGGUAAAUGAAGCAAAUGUUGGAAACUAGAGAAAGAGGGAAUUCAUUAUGUUGUAGUAAAAAAAUUAGUAAUGCUUUUGCCUGAAG
RNAcentral lists this long non-coding RNA (2292 nucleotides) under Homo sapiens (human). RNAcentral's name for it is "HSALNT0391306". Lineage: Eukaryota; Metazoa; Chordata; Mammalia; Primates; Hominidae. The record is from RNAcentral.